This 306-nucleotide RNase P RNA is filed under the name Candidatus Bathyarchaeota archaeon. RNAcentral describes it as "RNase P RNA component". It matches the Rfam family "Archaeal RNase P". Rfam says of the family: Ribonuclease P (RNase P) is a ubiquitous endoribonuclease, found in archaea, bacteria and eukarya as well as chloroplasts and mitochondria. Its best characterised activity is the generation of mature 5'-ends of tRNAs by cleaving the 5'-leader elements of precursor-tRNAs. RNAcentral also lists the same sequence under 1 other name. The record is from RNAcentral. Lineage: Archaea; Thermoproteati; Candidatus Bathyarchaeota.
GCGAGUUGGCGUGUGGCCUUCGGGCCGACCCAUAUGAGGCCUGAGGAAACUCCGCCCACAUGUAGAAGUGCAACGCCCGCAAGGGCGUAGGGCGAGAGCCCUGGCAACGGAGCAGAAACGAAACGUCCGCCCAGCAAAUGCCAAUGAGGCAUGCUAAGUUGUCGAGGAUGCUGGGCGGAAACGGUGAAACGGCCGUCCUGCACGUGGAAAGGGCAAACGGCGCUGAUGAGGAUUCUACCCGAAAGCGCAGGUAGCCCGAUAAGCCGAAUGCCACAUAAAACAGAAGGCGGGUUACAGCCAACACGC